Molecule: transfer RNA, 73 nt
Filed under: Pseudobacteriovorax antillogorgiicola
Lineage: Bacteria; Pseudomonadati; Bdellovibrionota; Oligoflexia; Oligoflexales; Pseudobacteriovoracaceae
Rfam family: tRNA
About the family: Transfer RNA (tRNA) molecules are approximately 80 nucleotides in length. Their secondary structure includes four short double-helical elements and three loops (D, anti-codon, and T loops).
Source: Rfam by way of RNAcentral
GGCGCGGUGUCUCGAAUGGUUAGAGAGCGGAUUGCAAAUCCGUUUCAUGUCGGUUCGAAUCCGAUCCGCGCCU